Small nucleolar RNA from Apodemus sylvaticus (European woodmouse), 66 nucleotides. RefSeq annotates it as small nucleolar RNA SNORD44. The record is from RefSeq and is a predicted model, not a curated record. Lineage: Eukaryota; Metazoa; Chordata; Mammalia; Rodentia; Muridae. The transcript has a single exon.
CCUGCAUGAUGACAAGCAAAUGCUGAGUAAUGUGAAGAUCUUUUAACUAUUAGCUCUAUCUGAUAU